CUGAUGUCUUCACUAUUAUUCUUAAAGGCGGGUCCAUUCUUCCAAGCAAGUGAUUUGGUGCCUUAUUGACAAGGGAUUACCAUUGAGCUGUCCUCAACCUUUUUGACCUUUUCCGAUCACUUGAAAAUAAGAUCUAAGCAAUAAUUAAGGAAGAAUUCAGAAGAAUUACAACUGUUGCUCCUGAGUCCACCUUUAUCCAGAAGCGGGACUAAUAUACACCAAAACUAUUGGAAUUGUUUAAAUCAAAAGGAGGUGCUGUAAAGGUGGGAGUGCAGAAAAUCUUCGAAGUUCUGUAUGGGUGCAACACCAUCCAGGAAAGAAGAGACGGUGUGAUUCGUGGCCUGAUUAUACCUUGGUGAGAGGGUUGAAGACCUUAUUACAGAAUACAAGGAUGCCGACGACACCUUGAUCCGAGAGGACCUUGUUCAGAACGAGCUUCAGGACCUCGUUCAGGUGUUCACUGUGAAGGAUCUGCACCAGAAUAUAGAGCAUGGGAUCUGCAUCGAAGGAGCAGAGGUCCUGGCUGGUAUUUGCAGUGUUACAGUCAUGUACCUUGUUUUUGGGCCUCAUCUAGAACUGACCUUUGAGGUGUUCCAAAAAGUAUUCUUGGAACUUGAUGAUCUCAGGACCUCCCCAUGGGUCCAAGCUCUAAAGAUGAAGUUACUUGUUUUCAGAGAUAUCUAAAGAUAUUUAUGAGAACUCUCAAAGGGCCACUCAAACUGUGGUCUACACCCUACUCAGUAAGCUGAAAAGCUACUUGCUAGGUGGUAUAGGAGCUGCAGUUUACAUGAUGCUCUUUGUCAGGUGAAGUCAUAAGAGACAUUGUCAAUUCCUGGUUAAAAAAACUGCUUUGUUUUAAAACUUACUACAUAUGCACUAGUGGAUUUCUGAGAUUAUUUGUAGUCAGGUGCAAGCUAUCUGGAUGUAAUUUUACCUAAGGAGGCAAGGUGGAGUUUUACCCAGAAUGCUUAUACCUGUCAAAAUAAUAUGUCCAUAUGGGCUUCACUAGUGCAAAUGUUUAAGGGACAAUUUGGCAUAUAUUUUGUAACAAUAUGUGCAAUGUAUGUUUUGAAAACCCAUAUUUUUAUUCAUCUAAAACAGUUUGAAUGAGGUUGUAUUUGAGCUAAAGUUUAUAUUGUGCUUUGUGUAAAGUCUAUUAAGAUACAUCGUUAACUUAUGUUUCUGUUAAAAUAUCACUUUGAUGUUAAGGGGCACACAGACCACCAGAGAAUUCUUGCCAAAAUGUACAAGAUGUGAGGUCAAAGUGUUAAUCCCAGACUAUCACCUAAACUUUAUGCAGUUGUGAAGAUCUGAAAUGAUUUGUAGUCAGGUGCAAGCAAUCUGGAUGUAACUUUACCUAAGGAGGCAAGGUGGUUAUACCCAGAACGCUUAAAGAUUACAAAAUAAUGAGCUCUCCACAAAUGCUUAAGGAGUAGAGUUUUACGGGGCAAUUUGAGAUUGAAGUUUGAAGAAAACCUUUAUUCAAAAUAAAGGUGUUAAAGUUUGAAAUUGAGCACUGUUGUUUCUUUUUGCAUAUUCCCUUGUAUAGAAAUAAUACAUUUUAGUCAAUUAUACCAAGUAUAUUGAGGUAACUGUU
Oncorhynchus mykiss (rainbow trout) is the source of this 1597-nucleotide non-coding RNA. The record is from RefSeq and is a predicted model, not a curated record. Lineage: Eukaryota; Metazoa; Chordata; Actinopteri; Salmoniformes; Salmonidae.